GUGAAUUGCAUCGUUUUUGAGUGUCAUAAAUCGCGCGCAAUUAUUACGUUUUGUAAAUUGUAGGUGAAUUUGUUAGAGUAAUGAUUGUUACGUAGCAUGAUUAUUUGCGAAACAUGGUGAAGAACAAAAAUUUCGUAAUAGAACUCGGUAUUUGUUCGUCGUAAUUUAAAUCUACGGUUUCCAAUAACAAGCGAACAAAGCAAAGAGAAGAGCAAGGUUAUACGAACGUCUCUUUUCUUUAUCAAUUGGUUGACCAUUCGAGCGAAAAUAAAGAUCGAGGAGGGCUGCGAAGAUCGGUU
This 299-nucleotide unclassified non-coding RNA is filed under the name Bombus terrestris (buff-tailed bumblebee). RNAcentral's name for it is "misc RNA ENSBTSG00005023573.1". Lineage: Eukaryota; Metazoa; Arthropoda; Insecta; Hymenoptera; Apidae. The record is from RNAcentral.